AUUGCACUAGAAAGCACUGUCAAGCUGCCAGUGUAGCUGCAGUCUUUUUAGUUCCUCUUGUGUUAAUAAUUCACCAUGUCAAACCAAGCGAAACUUUCCUCCUUUCGGCGUGAAGAGAGUCCUGAGAUCGAGAUGCUGAACCUCUUCUGCUCCUCGGACCUGCCUGGUCCAUCCUGGUGCCCUGUGUCUGGUUGGAGUCUCAUCGCAUCACUCCUGUGGAGGGCGGCCCCAUGUGGACAGUUGGGGGUCGCGCCUGGAGGACGCUCUGGACUCUUGCAGUGGUGUUUUUGUGGCUGAGGACUGCAGUUGACUUGCUGACUUUGGGACUGUGGUUGUUGUGAAUGGUUUUGCGCUCGGGUUUCCGUCGGUGGGGGGUUUAUAGCAUCAACGAAGCUGACUUUAUAUUAGGACUGUUAAUGUUAUAGUCAUGUUGUCUGUUGUUGCCCAAAUGAGGAUGGGUUCCCUUUUGAGUCUGGUUCCUCUCGAGGUUUCUUCCUCAUGUCGUCUGAGGGAGUUUUUCCUUGCCACCGUCGCCACAGGCUUGCUCAUUGGGGAUAGAUUAGGGAUAAAAUUAGCUCAUGUUUUAAGUCGUUCAAAUUCUGUAAAGCUGCUUUGCGACAAUGCUUAUUGUUAAAAGCGCUAUACAAAUAAACUUGACUUGACUUGAAGAGCCAUUUUUGGUAGAUCAGAGAACCGAGAAGUAACAGUUCGAAUCAGUUUGCUUAUUUAUUUAUUUAUUUAUUUAUUUGAAUGACCUGAAAUAAAGGGUUAUAUAAAUUAA
Molecule: long non-coding RNA, 781 nt
Organism: Neoarius graeffei (lesser salmon catfish)
Lineage: Eukaryota; Metazoa; Chordata; Actinopteri; Siluriformes; Ariidae
Exons: 2
Source: RefSeq, a predicted model, not a curated record